RNAcentral lists this ribosomal RNA (301 nucleotides) under uncultured bacterium. Its description in RNAcentral is "partial 16S ribosomal RNA". It matches the Rfam family "Bacterial small subunit ribosomal RNA", at positions 509 to 807 of the family's 1533-position model. The record is from RNAcentral.
CAGUCGCCGCGGUAAUACGAAGGGUGCAAGCGUUACUCGGAAUUACUGGGCGUAAAGCGUGCGUAGGUGGUUGUUUAAGUCUGUUGUGAAAGCCCUGGGCUCAACCUGGGAAUUGCAGUGGAUACUGGGCAACUAGAGUGUGGUAGAGGGUAGUGGAAUUCCCGGUGUAGCAGUGAAAUGCGUAGAGAUCGGGAGGAACAUCCAUGGCGAAGGCAGCUACCUGGACCAACACUGACACUGAGGCACGAAAGCGUGGGGAGCAAACAGGAUUAGAUACCCCCGUAGUCCCUGUCUCUUAUAC